GACAGAGGGUGCAAACGUUGUUCGGAAUUACUGGGCGUAAAGCGCGCGUAGGCGGCUUUGCAAGACGGGUGUGAAAUCCCCAGGCUUAACCUGGGAACUGCAUUCGAGACUGCAUUGCUAGAGUAUGGGAGAGGGAAGUGGAAUUUCCGGUGUAGCGGUGAAAUGCGUAGAUAUCGGAAGGAACAUCAGUGGCGAAAGCGACUUCCUGGACCAAUACUGACGCUCAUGUGCGAAAGCGUGGGGAGCAAACAGG
RNAcentral lists this ribosomal RNA (253 nucleotides) under uncultured bacterium. RNAcentral describes it as "partial 16S ribosomal RNA". It matches the Rfam family "Bacterial small subunit ribosomal RNA", at positions 524 to 776 of the family's 1533-position model. The record is from RNAcentral.